Molecule: ribosomal RNA, 446 nt
Filed under: uncultured bacterium
Lineage: Bacteria
Description: partial 16S ribosomal RNA
Rfam family: Bacterial small subunit ribosomal RNA
Source: RNAcentral
CCUACGGGUGGCAGCAGUCGAGAAUCAUUCACAAUGGGGGAAACCCUGAUGGUGCGACGCCGCGUGGGCGAAUGAAGUUCUUCGGAUUGUAAACCCCUGUCAUGUGGAAGCAAAUUAAAAAGAUAGUACCACAAGAGGAAGAGACGACUAACUCUGUGCCAGCAGCCGCGGUAAUACAGGGGUCUCAAGCGUUGUUCGGAAUCACUGGGCGUAAAGCGUGCGUAGGCUGUUUCGUAAGUCGUGUGUGAAUGGCGCGGGCUCAACCCGCGGACGGCACAUGAUACUGGGAGACUAGAGUAAUGGAGGGGUAAGCGGAAUUCUCGGUGUAGCAGUGAAAUGCGUAGAUAUAGAGAGGAACACUCGAGGCGAAGGCGGGUUCCUGGACAUUAACUGACGCUGAGGCACGAAGGCGAGGGGAGCGAAAGGGAUUAGAUACCCGUGUAGUC